This 3190-nucleotide ribosomal RNA is filed under the name Heterodermia casarettiana. RNAcentral describes it as "large subunit ribosomal RNA". It matches the Rfam family "Bacterial large subunit ribosomal RNA". Lineage: Eukaryota; Fungi; Ascomycota; Lecanoromycetes; Caliciales; Physciaceae. The record is from RNAcentral.
AGGGACAGAUAAGUCAUACAAAAAAUAAGGUUAGAGAUCAACACCUACUCACUUAAUUAGAAGGCUCUACACCUAUUCACUUGCUUAGUUUUAGCAUUAACUCUUAGUUGAAAAUCAAUAAAAAAACGAAGUGAAUUGAAAUAUCUUAUUAGCUUCAGGAAUAUAAAUCAAACGAGAUUCUACAAGUAGUGUGAAUGAAAGUAGAAAAGCCUUAAAGUAUAACGGAGUGCAUACCUGUUUGAACAAAAAUUUAGAGGGGAAUCUUCCUCUAAGGCUAAAUAUAAUAUAUAAGCGAUAGCGAUACAAAGUACCGUGAGGGAACAUCUUAAAAUAGUGGUUUUAUAAGCAGCUCAAGUAAAUUUUAAAUAAUAAGAGCGUACCUUUUGCAUAAUGGGUCAGCAAGUUAAUAUUAGAUGCGAGCAGUAAUGCGAAGAUAAACCAAUUGUGAGAGAAUGAUUUAGUAUCUAAAAUUAGACCCGAAGCCUAGUGAUCUUACCAUGAUCAGGAUUAUAAAAGUCCGAACGGGUUAUCGUUGUACAGAUAUCCGAAGAAUUGUGGUAAGUUAGUGAAAGACAAUACAGACUAGGAUAGCUGGUUUUCCGCGAAACCUAUAUUUGUAGGUAAUUUUAAUAACAUCAAAGCAGGUACAGAAUUGUGAUCUCAUGCAACUUUUAUAUUAAUUUAACAUUAAUAUAUUUUUUGUGGACAUUGGGGGAUCGUGAAGAUUUUAUCAGUGAGUAUUUGUUCUCGGAAGGGCUUAGAUGAAUAUUGAAUAAUCAGACAUAGUACGAUAAGGUUGUAUGUCUAAAGGGAAAGAGCCCAGAACAAGAGUUAAUAAGGUUCCAAAAUUAUUGUUAAGUGAAAUAAAGGUAGUUUUUGUCCUAACCGCUCAGGAAAUGGGCUUAGAAGCGGCCAUUUUUUAAAGACCUCGUAAUAGAGCACUGACUAUAGUUAAUCACUAAAUGGGAAAACAUGAUUUAGUUUUUAGUGGACAAAGGCAUCUAAAAUUUAACGGAUCUAAAUAAUAUACCGAUACCUUGUACAUAUAGAUACAUAUAAAACGAAACUUUGCCUAUUUGCCUAAACCUAUAUUCCUAUUUUCCUAUUUUACUGCACCUGUUUUCUUUUCGUAGGUUUUUGCUUAUUAUAUACUCAUGUUUUAUAAAUUUGCUUUUACUUGUAUAUAUCCAUAUACAUGUAUUUUGCACAUUUACUUUGGGUGUAUAUUUUGCACAUUUAAUUUAAUUAUUUCUUUUCAAAAUUUACUUAUUUGGUGGUUUCUUUUUCAGAUUUACUUUAGACAUUUUACACAUAUACUUUUGCCUUUGCUUUUGCCUUUGCUUUUGCCUUUGCUUUUGCUUUUACUUGUAGAUAUGUAUACAUAUCUACAAAUUUUUCUAUUUUUGCUAUUUUUUGUAGCUAUCUAAUUAUAUAGUCUAUAUGGGGUAGCGGAACGUUGGGUAAUUAUUAGAUUAUUUCUUUUUAAGAUUUAAAGAUAUGUAAAUCCCAAGUGAUAAUGCUGACAUGAGUAACGAUAAAGGAUAAUAUCCUCGCCUAAAGUUUAAGGAAGCUAAUUAUGUAACGGCCUCUAAGUUAUAGUUCUAACGUGCUAAACGAUGGAAAAAUCAUUGAGUAAUUAACAACUUUUGUUUUUUUUUUUGACUCAAACAACUUUAAAUAUAUAAAUCUCAAAAAUAUGGAAAUUAUGAUAGAUGUUUUGGAAAAAAAAAUGUAAAUUGUGACAAAUGUUCUGGAAAAAAAGGAUGCUCUGAUUUUUUUUUUCUUAAAUUUUUUUUUCCUAAGUUGUAAGAAAAAAGGAUUGUGCCUGAAUGGGAGGGCGAGAAAAAAAAAAAUAAUGACCGUGCCUAGAAUCUAACGCAAGUAAACUAGUAGAGAAUACGAAGGCGUUCGAGUGAACAAUCAUUAAGGAACUCGGCAAAUUGACUCACGUAACUUCGGGAGAAGGUGGGCCAUUCCUGCUUAUUUAUAAAGUUAGGAAGAGGAGGCACAGAAUGGUGUUGUACGACUGUUUAAUUAAAACACAACACACUGCAAAGACAAAAAUCGAAGUAUAGGGUGUGAUGUCUGCCCGAUGACGGCUGGUUAUCGGAUUUGCUUAGUUGAUUAAGUUAGGCUUUGAAGGAACCCCCGUUCAAUGGCAGCUUUACCUAUGAGGGUUCUAAGGUAGCGAAAUACCUUGGCCGUUAAAUGCGGUCUUGCAUGAAUGAUGUAACGAUACAGCAGCUGUCUCAAUGAUUGGCUCGGUGAAAUUGGAAUAACUGUGCAGAUACAGUUUACCUCUAGAUAGACGAGAAGACCCUAUGCAGCUUUACUGUUUCUAGUUAUUUGGUAUGAUAUAAGCAGUUUUAGUGUAUAAGGUAGUUGGUAAGAUAUAAUUGAAACACCUUUACUUGGUUUAUCAUAUUGUAUCACCUUAUCCAAAAAAGGCUGGAACAUUUGCUAGGUGGCAGUUUAUGCGGGGCACAGAUCCCAUAAAUAGUACCUGUCAAGUUUAAUGGCUUAAUCUUGCUUUACUGAUUGACUUACCGGUCUUUCAGUCGCGUAAGCGGGGCAUAUGAUCACAAGACGCUUAAAGAAAAGGUCUUGGAUUUUCGAAAAAGUUACGCUAGGGAUAACAGGCUAAUUGCGCCAGAGAGCUCAAAUUGAGUGCGCAGUUUGGCACCUCGAUGUCGGCUUAGCUUAUCCACAUGAAUGCAAGAGUCAUGCAGGGUGCGACUGUUCGUCGAUUAAAAAGCUACACGAGCUGGGUUAAAUACGUCGUGAGACAGUAUGGUUUCUAUCUUCUAGAGGCACUUAGAAUAAAAUAAGGAUAGCCCCCUAGUACGAAAGGAUCUGGGUAUGUUAAUCUAUGGUUUACCUGUUGUUUGUGUACCUAUAUUAAAGUAAUAUAACUUAGACGUUGUCUCUAUGAUUUAUAGUGGGGUUUACUUAUCACCAUAGUAAUGCUUAACACAGGCACGGCAGGAAAGCUAUGUUAAUUAAAGAUAAGAGCUGAAUGAAUAUAGGCAUGAAACUUACCUUAAGAUAUUCUUAUAAACACGUAGUUUAACACUACGAUUUUAAAUAACAUUUAUAAAAUAUAAUUAUGAAAAACAAACUUAUUUAAUUAAUAGGCUUAAGUUGAAGGAGUUGUGAGAUUCUUAGGCAUUAAGUACUAAUUUUUCAAUUU